This 1125-nucleotide long non-coding RNA is filed under the name Equus caballus (horse). Its description in RNAcentral is "lncRNA (ENSECAG00000043764.2)". The record is from RNAcentral. Lineage: Eukaryota; Metazoa; Chordata; Mammalia; Perissodactyla; Equidae.
CCUCUGUAGCAUAUGCCAGAGGCAACGGUUCCCUUUCUUGACGGAUCUGGAUCUAGAGUCAGAUUAAGCCCGUCAUUUUGAUUUUCCUGUCACUGAACGAGCUAAGGCAAAUUGCUUCGCUGUCCUGUGUCCCAUUUCUUCACCUGCCCUCUUGUACUCCUUUUCUCGGAAGACUGUGCAGAAAAUGAAAGGACUGUGCUAGCCUAUAAGCCACCUUUGUGCAAAAAUAGAGUAAAAAAGUCCCUUAUCUAAGCAGACGUUUCUAGAUGGGUGGCUGGCUUGGUGCAUGGAUAGAGCCUCUAUGAAAAGCAGAACCCAGUGCUGCUUCUUCAGGGAAGACGCAACUCCAGCCCAGAGGACACGUGUGUUGAGCAGAACAAUGGCUGGAUUUCAGCCCCUCCUUUCUUCUGGCUUGGAGCCUUGGACAGGGAACAACUUGCUCACAUUGUCUGGUUCUGCACAGAAGGAGCUUGGAAGUCACCACUCUGUCCUAAGCUGAACCGACUUAAAAAUCAACGACUCUUCUUGGAUCCCUAAGAGAGGGGAGAACAUGGGGCAAACUGCUGCCCCCGAGACUGAAGAGGCCAAGCGGUGCGCACAGGGAGUCGUGGCACACUGGAGUGGAGACUCUCCAGCAGCAACCAUCACGGGGACCAGCGCCGAGGUGGGAACACCUGAACUGACGAAUUGCUGAAAGCUGGGUGCAGAAAACUCUGAGACUUAAAUACUCCCGGGGGCUCAGUCAUAGGACCCCCCAGUAUAGUGAGAUUUCCUUCCAGGAGCUCAAACCACAGUAAAUAUUCCAGAUAGCUACAGUAAACAUUGGAGAUUCCAAGAAAUAUUGGAAAUAUUGGAGAAAAAUCCCCUUGGGCUUCUGUCAGGGGAGGGGACAAGGAACCAAUUUCAAAUAUGCCAGAGCACUCUGCUCUUCUUAACGAGGCCUGCCCUCAUUGUCAACUUGUUAGCCAGAGCCUAAUCCACUUUAGUACUUAAGUGACCUAGGGAUAGGCAACACUCAACUUCAGCCCACUCCAGCCUUGCAUGUUGGAGAAGGGAGCUAGCCAACUCCAGCCCACUCGAGACAUCCUGUUCCAUCUAAAGGGGGAGAAAAAAACCCAGAAGCAC